GCUUACGGCCAUACCAACCUGGCUAUGCCCGAUCUCGUCUGAUCUCGGAAGCUAAGCCAGGUUUGGGCCUGGUUAGUACUUGGAUGGGAGACCCCCUGGGAAUACCAGGUGCUGUAAGCU
Ribosomal RNA from Carassius auratus (goldfish), 120 nucleotides. The record is from Ensembl. Lineage: Eukaryota; Metazoa; Chordata; Actinopteri; Cypriniformes; Cyprinidae.